Molecule: RNA transcript, 1293 nt
Organism: Lontra canadensis (Northern American river otter)
Lineage: Eukaryota; Metazoa; Chordata; Mammalia; Carnivora; Mustelidae
Gene: APELA
Gene name: apelin receptor early endogenous ligand
Exons: 4
Source: RefSeq, a predicted model, not a curated record
CGACCACAGCACCAGUAACCUUGUCUGAUGUGAUCAUUAACCUUUCUGGAAAAAGCUGCUGGCCGUUGUCUGAGGCUCGUCAGUAGAAUGUGAGGGGAGCCUCACAGAUACCGCACAGACUAUUCAAGACUGGUUUACGUUGAGAGCUCUUGCUCUACUUCAGGGGGGCAGGAAAAUGAGGUUACAACAAUUUCUUUUUGCCUGUCUGCUUUUCGUGAUGAGUCUUCUUCUUAUCAACGGACAGAGACCAGCUAAUUUGGCUGUGAGAAGAAAAUUGCACAGACACAACUGCCUUCAGAGGAGAUGCGUGCCUCUCCAUUCACGGGUGCCCUUCCCCUGAGAAGGGAUAAGAAAGAAUUAACACCAGCCUCUGUGGAUUCAAACUCUGACCACAAGCUGACUCACUGGUGGUCACUGGGUGGACCUUCUCUAGAUAAUCGUACCUGGUCUACCAGAAAAGGAAUGAAGGAAAGAUACCCACCCACACCAUAGUGUGAUUGCUUAGAAGUUCCUGUACAAAAAGGAAUCAUUUGAAAGCACCUGGGAUGGUUUAUUAGUCUUACAGGAUUCUCUUCCUGGUUUCUCUUUAGAGGGGAAAAUAACAAAUUCAAAAGCAAUUCCAGUCUGAAGCACAAUUAUUUGCUUGUAUAUUAAAAAUCUCUCAUCUUUUUCUGCACAUUACUAUUCCUAGAGGAGUUAAAAUAAAAACACUUUUUAAUGUCUUAGUACAAGAAUUAAAAUUUUUCUUUCAUAAUUCUAUAAUUCUCCACAAGUAUUAAAAUGUUUGUAUACGUUUGUAUAUGUUUGAGUGAUUUUUUUUUUCCAAAAAUGCUAAAUCUCUAAUCAAAUGCUUUGACCGUUUGGCUUUACAGAAUAAGGAUACAUUAAUUGGUUCAUUGAUUAUUUAUAUAGUGAAACUAAGAAGCUAUUAAUUGCUAUCAAUUUUAUAUUAUAGGCUUUAAUGUUUAUGAAAGUAUUUUUAUUUUGAACAAAUACCCAUAAAGUCAUAAAAGAAAGUUUGAAAUACUAAGAUGUUAAUUUCUGAAUCUGUCUCUCAUCAUGUAAUUGUAAGAAACCAGUGCUUUAUUUCCUUCCCAAUGUGAGGUCUUCCCAAGUUGUUAAAUACACUCUUAAUUUGUAUUUAUUAAAAGACUAAAGUUAGCACAAUGCCAUGAAGUUUUUAUUUUACUGUAAGUUGAUUCCAGGUAUGAAAUUUAUGAAAUCUUGAUUAGAAAUUUUGCUUGUAAACAUUGUAGAGUGGAAGAAACAAUAAACCGUUAACCCUUAUUUUGA